AAAAAGGCUUUUCGAGAAGCCAUUAAGAUAUUAAUAAGAUUUGCUU
Non-coding RNA from Danaus plexippus plexippus, 46 nucleotides. NCBI's taxonomy places the organism in Eukaryota, Metazoa, Arthropoda, Insecta, Lepidoptera, Nymphalidae. The record is from Rfam.